This 286-nucleotide unclassified non-coding RNA is filed under the name Punctulariopsis subglobispora. RNAcentral's name for it is "partial contains 5.8S ribosomal RNA, internal transcribed spacer 2, and large subunit ribosomal RNA". The record is from RNAcentral. Lineage: Eukaryota; Fungi; Basidiomycota; Agaricomycetes; Corticiales; Punctulariaceae.
CGCACCUUGCGCUCCUUGGUAUUCCGAGGAGCAUGCCUGUUUGAGUGUCAUGAAGUUCUCAACCCUAAGAGCAUUUGUUUGUUCUCUGGGAUUGGAAUUGGAGGUUUGCCGGCGGUGGUCGACUCCUCUCAAAUAUAUUAGCUGGGCUGUGCUCGAGAGAAAACAGUCGGUGUGAUAAUUAUCUGCGCCGUCGCUGAAGUAUCUCGGAUCCCGCUUCUAAUCGUCCUUUGGACAAUACACCUUGACAUCUGACCUCAAAUCAGGUAGGAUUACCCGCUGAACUUAA